GAGAUACUAGUAAAAAUUACGUAACUUUGUCGAAGUUAAAUUAUAGGUUUAAACCCUUUGUAUCUCCAU
This 69-nucleotide transfer RNA is filed under the name Genetta abyssinica. RNAcentral's name for it is "tRNA-Asp". It matches the Rfam family "tRNA". From Rfam's summary of the family: Transfer RNA (tRNA) molecules are approximately 80 nucleotides in length. Their secondary structure includes four short double-helical elements and three loops (D, anti-codon, and T loops). Further hydrogen bonds mediate the characteristic L-shaped molecular structure. tRNAs have two regions of fundamental functional importance: the anti-codon, which is responsible for specific mRNA codon recognition, and the 3' end, to which the tRNAs corresponding amino acid is attached (by aminoacyl-tRNA synthetases). tRNAs cope with the degeneracy of the genetic code in two manners: having more than one tRNA (with a specific anti-codon) for a particular amino acid; and 'wobble' base-pairing, i.e. permitting non-standard base-pairing at the 3rd anti-codon position. The record is from RNAcentral. Lineage: Eukaryota; Metazoa; Chordata; Mammalia; Carnivora; Viverridae.